AUAACUUUAAGUAAAUGCCUCCCACUUAAUUGCAUGUCCAGCACACAUCAGGUAUGUUUGGGUUAAAUUGGUGUAAGGUGAGGUGUAAGGGAACCCUGUGUCACAAAUUUAGACUCUUAAAAGUGGUGUUUAAAUUGAUUUCCAAUCGUACUAUGAAAUCUGGGAACCAAAUUCACAUGACCAUGCCCCGGUAUAUAAAAAGAGUAGAGGAGGGAACGAGCUGAAAAUAAAUAAGAGGACAUUUUCGCAUGUUACUUCUGGUUUGGACAAAGGACUU
Pelobates cultripes (western spadefoot toad) is the source of this 277-nucleotide non-coding RNA. The record is from the annotation of a GenBank genome assembly. NCBI's taxonomy places the organism in Eukaryota, Metazoa, Chordata, Amphibia, Anura, Pelobatidae.